AAACAGGCACCAAAUACCAAGCAAUACAAGUGCAUAAAAUGGUUACUGAUCUCCCAAAAAUACUCAACAAAAACAGAAUCAAAAUCACCACUGCAGCAAUAUAAUAAGAUGGUUUGUUCAAUCUCCUCAAAUUUCUCGCUCUUACAAGGUUGUUGUUGUUCUUGUUUGCCGUUGAUUCUUUGCUCUGUUUUGGCUUCUUAAUCGCCACGGUUUCUGAAUCAUCACUCGUGUUCUUCUCUUCUUUCUUGUCCUUCUGUUUCACAACCACAGGAACACAUUCAUCUGAAUUCUUGUAAGCAAAACGAACCAUAACUAUUUCUUCAGGGUCAGUUUGAGAGUAAAUCUUCUUCCUUUUUUCAUCAAGAUCCGUUAAAAGAGCAGAGAAUUUGUCGAGGCCACGGUCAGAGUAAGGAUUUUUC
This 419-nucleotide long non-coding RNA is filed under the name Cucumis sativus (cucumber). RNAcentral's name for it is "long non-coding RNA (CSAT_LNC001713)". The record is from RNAcentral. Lineage: Eukaryota; Viridiplantae; Streptophyta; Magnoliopsida; Cucurbitales; Cucurbitaceae.